This 406-nucleotide ribosomal RNA is filed under the name uncultured bacterium. RNAcentral describes it as "partial 16S ribosomal RNA". It matches the Rfam family "Bacterial small subunit ribosomal RNA", at positions 30 to 526 of the family's 1533-position model. The record is from RNAcentral.
AUUGAACGCUGGCGGCAGGCCUAACACAUGCAAGUCGAACGAGUGGCGGACGGGUGAGUAAUGUCUGGGAAACUGCCUGAUGGAGGGGGAUAACUACUGGAAACGGUAGCUAAUACCGCAUACCAUCAGAUGUGCCCAUAUGGGAUUAGCUAGUUGGUGGGGUAACGGCUCACCAAGGCGACGAUCCCUAGCUGGUCUGAGAGGAUGACCAGAAACACUGGAACGGAGAAACGGUCAAGACUCAUACGGAAGGCAGCAGGAGGAAAUAUUGCACAAUGGGCGCAAGCCUAAUGCAGCCAUGCCGCGGGUAUGAAGAAGGCCUUCGGGUUGUAGAGUACUUUAAGUUGGGAGGCGUUACCAACAGAAUAAGCACCGGCUAACUUCGUGCCAGCAGCCGCGGUAAUAC